Non-coding RNA from Acanthoscelides obtectus, 81 nucleotides. The record is from the annotation of a GenBank genome assembly. Lineage: Eukaryota; Metazoa; Arthropoda; Insecta; Coleoptera; Chrysomelidae.
UCGGUUGGCCGGGUGGGUCAGAGUGUCGGGCUACUAAUCAGCAGGCCGGCCGGGCCGCGAGUUCGAAUCUCGCCAGCAGAA